UAAACCAUAUGCCUCCGAGAGAUCACUUAACUUCUUUCACCCCAGCCUACUGCUCAUGUUAAAUGUUAGUUCCGCGUUCCAUCGUAUGAUAUUUAGUGUGUCACAAUGUGUCUUGUACAAAAAUCUAUUGCUAGCCUAUUGUCUGCGUUUGAUUCCAUGCUGGUCUUUAUAUAUGGUGUAGAAAUUCGCUCCUUUAGCUGAUUCAAGAUUUGGUAUGCGACUGUAGCAACACAUUUUCUAUUUUAUAACACACUUUGCAUCGUAACUUUGACUAGUAAAGAAUUGUUAGAGGUUGUGUUGCUAUAUAACAGGAGGGAAGCCAUCAUUGUCUUGAAUUGAAUCUUGAGUAUCUUAUUAGUCCUGUUUUUGUUAAACAAAAAAAGUUGUUGCUUUCUUUCAGCACAGGUUUUCUCUUCAAAAGGUUUUGGCCUAUAUAAUUUAGAAAAUAAGAACUGAGUGCUACUGUCCAAGAAAGACAUCCCAUUCGUCCUUCACGUUGAAGCAGUACCACUUAAUUGAUUAACAAUGUAAGCGAACCAAACAGACACCAAGGGUUAAUUAGCCCGCCGAAACUCAAGAAUGAUUAUUUGCAAUGCAUGUUUCCACCUAGAAUCCCGUCUUUUCUUUCAAGAAAUGCUGUUUCUUCCUUUUGAUCAUAUGCAUGGUGGUUGGAUUAGCCACUCUUUUUUGUGAUCCUCAUCAUUAGACCCCUCAAGCCUGUUUUCUCUGUUCGGGAGGUUAAUAUAAACUUUUACAAGAUUGAUGAUCGUUCAAAUCUAACUCUGCUGGUUUCAUCUGUAAUCUCCUUAACCCUCAAUGCAGAAAAUCAUAAUAAGUUUGGCAUAGGUUUUAGUUGAUCAAGGUUUCUUGUUUAUCAUGAAGGUUUGCAUAUAGGAACUAUUAGAAUUACUUGGUUUUUUCAACCUCCUCACAGUGAAAAUGUGAGUGUACCAUCCCGUGUCUUAUUGCAAAGUGUCAAUCUCACCAAAAUCGUCGCCAACACAUCGUUACAAGAAAUAUCAUAGCAAAACAUGGCACGGAUGAACAUCAUAGGGGGAUGUUAGAGCCCACGUGUGGGUACUUCAUAUAAAACUUUUUGUAGUUAAGAAAUGAAGUUUUCGGUGCCGAAAUCAGUAAGAGUGACCUGGCUUCUGUUCUCAGUAAAUCCAGAUCCAUCUCUUUGAAUUGCGCUUCAUCUGUCUAUAUAUAAUCCCAUUGCCAGGCCCCUCUGUCAAAUCCACCUCAAUGUGAAUGUGUAAAGUUAAACAACUCUCAUCACUUUGUGCUUUUGCCUUUCGGCUUACUUGUUUUUUCUAGAUUUUUGCCUUUUCAUGUGGCUGUGACUGAGUCACAUUUAAGUUGAAACUUUGUAAUGUUGAAUUUUCUUACAAAUCUAAAAAGUGAUGCGCAGAAUGACUCUGUCUAUAUUCGAAAAUCAAGGCUUUUAGACUUGAAAGAUAAUCUGCAUCGGUCAAGCUUUAUUUGCACAAUUCAUUCCCAUGCUAUUUGUCUCUCUGUAUGGUGUCAUGGCCUACAUACUUUUGAGCGAAAUUAAGAAAGUGAAACGUUGAAAGAUGACAGUAAUGUUGAUUACACCAAACAAACAUAUAACACACAAACGACUGAAACGCUUGUCAGUAACUCAAUUGUCAUUAUUCAAGAAAAGAGGAGCAUCUUGACCACCGUAUCACUUAUUUAACUGACAUCUAAAGCUUUUCGAUUACAAACAGCUAGCUAUAAGAGUCUUGCAUGGCCUCACAGUUCUCUUUUAUUUAUCAAUGUGAUGUGAUAUGUGUUUAGGGAGGAAGCAGAUACUCUGGCUGGCCUUUAUGGCAAGUCCGAAAUCCAGUUUCUGCCUCCUGGUUCUUUUUGUAAGCCCAACUUGCUGCCUUGGUGAAAUAUGCCAGCCGAAAAAACCCGCC
Molecule: long non-coding RNA, 1922 nt
Organism: Glycine soja
Lineage: Eukaryota; Viridiplantae; Streptophyta; Magnoliopsida; Fabales; Fabaceae
Exons: 3
Source: RefSeq, a predicted model, not a curated record